GUCGAAUUGGUUGAAAGAAAACAUUUUUAUAUUAUACAUACAACACGGGGCUCAGGAUGGCAGUGCCAGCUGUGGGCGGGGGACACAGGGUCCGUCCCUCCCCUGGGGCUCCGGGUGCUGGGUCCCAGCCAGGUCUCCCUGGGGCGUGGGGCAAGCCUGGAGGAGCGGGUCAGACAAGCGGGCUUCCCCCUGGUGCUGUCGCUGCUUCACCGCCUAAAGGCGGCCGUACCCUCUGCUGCUGAGCUCCGCCUCCACUCGGGUCCUCGCUGUCCUGGGGGUCAAGGCUGCACGCAGGGUCCUGUUUGCUGAAGGGCUCGAUGACGCACGGGGGUGGGAGAUGACGAGGCUCGCCACAGCCCGCGGCCAGGGCCCCCAGCCCCGAGGUCACUGGCCCAAAAGCUGCUGCCAGGGACCACGCCCUCAGUAGGGAUAAGGGGACACGGCGAUGAGCAGGACGAAGACGCUCUGGUGGCGCGGCGCGGCGGCGCGCACGGUGGUCCUACCACUCAGAGGAGCCUGAGGACCCAUGAUCGUGAAGUUCUAGAACACUGGAGCAAGAAAGGCCAUACAGGUUGCCAAUCCAGGGCGGCUCCUGAGUUUCAUCUCAAAGGCUAAUUGCAGCUGAUUCACAGUGGCUACUGGAGAAGCUGCGUUGAGUAGGAUUCAGAGGCUGUCUUUAGGCCGGCCGGGCCUCAAUCCAUGAGGGAACCCGAGAAGCGGCAGCAUAUGUGUGCCCUCCCUGACCUGGUGCCCCUUCAUCAGACAAGAAACCGGACAGGAAAAGACACUUGUCCAAGGAUAAUCAAAGUGCCAGCAGCCAGGCCAGGCCAGGCCCCAGACCUUUGGAGUGUGGCUCAAGCUUUUGCCCUGGUCUCAUGGCUCCUUCUGCCAAGAGAGUUCUGCUUUUCCCUGGAGGCCCAGAGUCCCAGUGGCACAGAGAACCUCCUCUACUGAACCCUGGAAACCCUGGAGUAUGGACAGCCCCACAUCAUGCCCCUGUCACCUUCACAGCCGGCCCCAUGAGGGGCCACCCGGAAGCCAGGCCUGCAGUCGGGGAGGCAGUGGUAGGACCCAAAGAGGUUCACGCAGCGCUGUCCCUCCUGGCAGAGAUCUGCGUCAGCCAGGCUCUCGGGGACGACACCACUGACCACCACGUCAAGGAGCAGGAGGCCAUUGGAAUCCAGGCCCCGGGCCUCCUGGGUCAUCAUGAGCAGCUCUCCUGCAAUCCAUCCCCGCCCAGCCUGGAGUCAGCAUGGGGGAGAGGCCCUGGGCUCAGGCCUUAGCCCCAUGUGGCCCACUGGGAAGGAGAUGCCCCCACCCCGCUCACCUGUGGCAAACUCCACAUGCGACUCCUGUAGGAAGCUGCCACCCGUCAGAGAGUGGCCAUUCAGGACAUCCCCAUUCUCUCCAGCCAGGGCCCAGUAGAUGGGGGCGAUGCUGACCACGAGUACCCGCAUCAGGGGCCCUGCAUGGGAUGGGCGUGGAGGCUGGGUCAGGGCCAGAUCCUGAGGGCUGCCACUCUCCCGCUCAAGAUCCCUCUGUAGCUCCCUGUUGCCCCAGGAGGGCUUAGCCCCUUCCCUCCCUGCUCAGGCCCAGCCCUGUGAUCACCUGAGUCAGUUAUUGGAUCAGAACCUGGGAAGGGGUGAAGGCAAAUAUCCAGUCUGUGGAGUGGUUGUGAAAACGAACAAAAUACAUUUAUACAAAGAAGGGCACGUGACUUGUUGAUAUUCAACUCAGUUGAACAAAUCUUGAGAGUGACUGGGUCACCAACUGAGCCUGGGACAUAUGUGCUGGACCAAGCUGAAAACCAGACAAGUCUCCUACCUUGCAGACACCUUCCAGAAGAGCCUGGGAGAGGAAAGCCACUGACUUUGAAAAUAGAGCCAAAAAAUCGCUCUGGACAUG
This 1905-nucleotide long non-coding RNA is filed under the name Canis lupus familiaris (dog). RNAcentral's name for it is "lncRNA (ENSCAFG00845021675.1)". The record is from RNAcentral. Lineage: Eukaryota; Metazoa; Chordata; Mammalia; Carnivora; Canidae.